This 99-nucleotide transfer RNA is filed under the name Candidatus Aenigmarchaeota archaeon ex4484_56. RNAcentral describes it as "tRNA-OTHER". The record is from RNAcentral. Lineage: Archaea; Nanobdellati; Candidatus Aenigmatarchaeota.
GCCCCGGUAGCUCAGUUGGCAGAGCGGCUGAAAAUUUUGCUGAAUCUCGUAAACAGCAGGUCGCGAGUUCAAAAUUAAUUGAAAAUCUCGCCCGGGGCU